CAUUAGGGUCAUCUGCUUGAGAAGGUUGCUGUAAUGCAGAAAGUGACAUCUUUACCGAGAGUUGAAGUAAUUCCCCCAGCCCCAUUUUAUCUUUUUAGUACCGAUGGUCUUGUAGUGCACCCUUCAUCGAAAGAGUAGGCGGUUGAAAGACCCACCUCUGAAUAAACCUUUAGGUUGGGAGAUAUCAAAGGGGAACCUCGCCUAGCUUAUCUGUCCUUGUAUUAUUCAACUCAUCUGUCCACUUAUCUUGUCCAAAGCAGAAGGAAUAUAAAAAUCCUUUGUUUCGAGGGUAAUCCGCCAGUCUUUGAGGUCGCCUUCCUUGCUUGACAGUAUAGCCUGCGGGUGAAAUCCCCGAUGUCGUAUUGUACAUGGGAAUUAAAAUUGUGAGGCCAUUGAAUGAGAAAUCACGACCUUAAACACUUGCCUGUAGCUAUAGUGUCAACUUGACGCGCUGAACGACUAUGAUCAGAA
This 471-nucleotide long non-coding RNA is filed under the name Cicer arietinum (chickpea). Its description in RNAcentral is "long non-coding RNA (CARI_LNC000729)". The record is from RNAcentral. Lineage: Eukaryota; Viridiplantae; Streptophyta; Magnoliopsida; Fabales; Fabaceae.